AACAACACGAAAGGAGGUGAUCCAGUGUCUCAUUGUCUCAUGCUUGGUUCCGAAGCGCUGGUGGUUGCGGUGGGAAUCGCAACAAUCUGAGAAGACACCGCCUUUCGGUCUAACAAGCCGACAAUGCGGGAAGGGCCGCCGGGCAACCGGCGGCCCU
Molecule: small RNA, 157 nt
Filed under: Sandarakinorhabdus fusca
Lineage: Bacteria; Pseudomonadati; Pseudomonadota; Alphaproteobacteria; Sphingomonadales; Sphingosinicellaceae
Description: sRNA CC2171
Rfam family: caulobacter sRNA CC2171
Source: RNAcentral